CUUCUGGGAGAAUCCAUGCACAAUUCACAAGUGUCACUGGUCCUGCAGGAACAGCAGUUCCUGUAACCUUGAUCACCACUUUUCAUGCCCACCCACCGAAUAUAUUGUAGAGAUUAUAUUAUACUCCUAUGUAGAGGGGGUGUUGUGUUCAUCAUAGCUUUUACUUUAUUCUGGUUGUAUUAUAAAUUCUGUCUUUCACAGAUGCAAGCACAGAUGAAGAAGUGCACAGAAGUGCUGGAGUACAAUCCCUGUCUCAGCAAUUUUACAGACUCACAGUACUCUCAGAUGGGUGGUGAUGAGUAUGCUGGCAGAUGUGACCGUGGAGACCAAUGUUCUGGGCACCCUGGAGUCCCACAGGAGCAGAGGAAAAGGACCAAGCAUGAGAGAACAGGCUGUCUCUUGGGCUUUGGACUGUCUCAUGUCACAGGCUGCCCUAUGCCUGCAAUGAGCUGCGCACACCAGAAGAUGCUUAAAUAUCCACAUAUCUCAUACUGCAGGGUAAGGUACCUCUGUAGUGCCUUGAUUUCUUCUGUAUGAGUUAUAAUCCUGCUCUAAAAAAAUGCCUUGAAAUUGAAUUCCCACUGGGAGGAGGCAAGAAGUUGGAGGAGUACAGUCACCUGUGUGUAUCCCAAUUAAAUGUGCCUACAGGAUAUUCUAAGGGAGUACAGAAUAUGUGCCCAGAGACAAGAAAAAGACAUUUUGUAGCUAUUAUUAUUUUUAUUGUUAUGGUUAUUAUCAGGUAUUAGUUUAUUUUACUUAUGAACUCUUGACUGAAUUCUUCCAUCAGUCCUUUUGGACUACCUCUGUUCCUGUGUAGGUGUGUCCAUCAGCUGAGGGCAUGGUCAGAGGAUUGCUGACGGAUGCUCCACAUGUGGGAAGAGAUCAGAAACUUGGAGAGUGGUGAACAAGCAAUAAGAAGUCAAGGCAAACACUUCAGUGUCUUUUGAAGGGUCCUGACUGAAAACUGGUGUGUAGGGUGAGGACUUUAUCAAAGAACAGAUCAUCAUCAUUAUACUUCAGUUCAAAAUAUGGCAGGGCCCCAGUGUUUUCAGCUCCCAUUAGCUGAACUUGUGAUAAGAUGAUAGCUGACUAUUUAAAGUGACUUGAAAGGCUUUUUUGAAGUAUUUGGGACUGAAAACUUUGGCACAGUUUCCUUCUCACAUGGACAUGGUUAUGGGGCUUCAUAGCCCGUCUUAUUUCAAGAUUUUUUAAUACCCUCAUAAUUACAUUAAAUUGGCCAGGAAAAAGGCUGAAGUUGAGGAUAUGAAGACCUGCCAACUCUGCACAAUCCUGGGUGCAAGCCUGAUUUAUUGUCAUUCCAAGUUUGCCUUGGUUUCAUUGCAUUUUCAACAUGGAACAAAGUUAUUUCUGUACUUUAAUGUGUUUUUUUUUUUUUUUUUAAAUAGAGCUAAUUUGUGUUGUGUAAGAGGAAGUUUUAUGAUGCAGACAUGUUAUAUUGCCAUCUCUAUAACAGGAGUCCAAACCUAUUAAUCAAAAUUGUCCAAAUGUAGUGAGCAAAGGGUAGAAAAUGGGGAAAGGAACAGAUAGAGCCACAGCUGCCUCUCUGCUUCAGAGAGCAUGCAACUGUCCCAAAUACAAACAUCAAACAAAAAUCUUCACAUUCACUACGAUUUGAUAUAGACUAAAUUCACUUUAGGCUUAGAUACCCAUCAGAUUGCAUCAGUUUUUAAAACUCUGCUGCAACAGGAAACCUUGAUUUGAUUUUCAAGGGACUUGAGUUUGGGCUCCUUCUAAAUUAAGUUGAGUGUUAGGGCUACUGAAAACUACAACUGAACUCUUCCAUCCUCCUCCAUUCAAUUUCAUGCCUCCAAUUUCUGUGUUUCUAAUGAAAGGGAUGUUUACUACCAGGCAUCUCACUUGAACUGAUUUGGAAAGUUUCUGAGAAAUUUAAGUUGCAAAACAUUUAAUAUGAAUGAUUUUUUUCUCCAUCAAAGAGAUCUUAUGUCAGAAUCGAAGACAAGUCCCUGCUUUUGGUCUUCCUAAUUACUGGAUGUUAGACAUUAAACAUUGAACUGGAAAUCCAAUUACAUGAUUAUUAAUCAGAUGCAUUUUUUUCAACUUGGGGAAAAAAAGGCCAAGUGAAACAUGAGAGUCCACUGGGAACCACCAAUUAAAGCAAUUAAAAAAGGAUGUGGAAUACUUAAUUUUUACACUUGGCUAGAAAGUUGAUUGACUGGGCUUGACUCUCCUGGGAGUGGGUGUGCUGGGCAG
Molecule: long non-coding RNA, 2232 nt
Organism: Corvus moneduloides (New Caledonian crow)
Lineage: Eukaryota; Metazoa; Chordata; Aves; Passeriformes; Corvidae
Source: Ensembl